AGCCACGCAGUGAGCACGGAGCGAACUGUUCUUUUGCCUUUUACUAAAGAGUACCGUGUGACGAUUUUCCAGGAGGUUUUAAUUUUUGUCUUUUUAUGGCGAGUUUGGUUUUACGUGAAUG
Small nuclear RNA from Rhodamnia argentea, 121 nucleotides. RefSeq annotates it as U5 spliceosomal RNA. The transcript has a single exon. The record is from RefSeq and is a predicted model, not a curated record. Lineage: Eukaryota; Viridiplantae; Streptophyta; Magnoliopsida; Myrtales; Myrtaceae.